CGACAGGCCUAACACAUGCAAGUCGAGGGGCAGCACAAGGAGCAAUCUGAGGUGGCGACCGGCGCACGGGUGAGUAACACGUAUGCAACCUGCCUGUAAGCGGGGAAUAACCCGUUGAAAGACGGACUAAUACCGCAUAAUACUAAAUUACUGCAUGGUAAUUUAUUUAAACAUUUAUGGCUUACAGAUGGGCAUGCGCAUGAUUAGCUAGUUGGAGAGGUAACGGCUCCCCAAGGCAACGAUCAUUAGGGGUUCUGAGAGGAAGGUCCCCCCACACUGGUACUGAGACACGGACCAGACUCCUACGGGAGGCAGCAGUGAGGAAUAUUGGUCAAUGGACGAGAGUCUGAACCAGCCAAGUCGCGUGCAGGAAGAAUGUCCUAUGGAUUGUAAACUGCUUUUGCAGGGGAAUAAAGUGCAUCACGUGUGAUGUUUUGUAUGUACUCUGCGAAUAAGGAUCGGCUAACUCCGUGCCAGCCGCCGC
This 484-nucleotide ribosomal RNA is filed under the name uncultured bacterium. RNAcentral describes it as "bacterial SSU rRNA". It matches the Rfam family "Bacterial small subunit ribosomal RNA", at positions 40 to 518 of the family's 1533-position model. The record is from RNAcentral.